UACGGCCACAUUACGUUAAAACACCGGUUCCCGUACCAUCACCGAAGUUAAGCAAUGUCGAGCAUGGCCAGUGCCUAGAUGGGUGACCGCUUGGGAAUACCAGGUGCUGUAAG
Molecule: ribosomal RNA, 113 nt
Filed under: Acanthosepion pharaonis
Lineage: Eukaryota; Metazoa; Mollusca; Cephalopoda; Sepiida; Sepiidae
Source: RNAcentral